This 71-nucleotide transfer RNA is filed under the name Loxodonta africana (African savanna elephant). It matches the Rfam family "tRNA". Rfam says of the family: Transfer RNA (tRNA) molecules are approximately 80 nucleotides in length. Their secondary structure includes four short double-helical elements and three loops (D, anti-codon, and T loops). Lineage: Eukaryota; Metazoa; Chordata; Mammalia; Proboscidea; Elephantidae. The record is from Rfam by way of RNAcentral.
GCAGUGGUGGUUCAGCGGUAGAAUUCUCACCUUCCAAGUAGGAGACCCAGGUUCAAUUCCUGGCCAAUGCA